GCUAAGCUGAGAAAACGUCAUAAAACACAAGCCCCCAUCCCCAUCUAUGAGGAAAUGAACAGUGGGUGUCGAGGAGCUGGAAGUGCCCAAAAUAACCAUCCCGUGCCUACACACCUGGAGGAAACAGAGUCCCCUGUGUACGGCAACCCCCAGGCCAGACAAGCACAGGAGAACCACUACGCCAGCCCCCGACAGAUCACUCUGAAGCCCUGAGCGAACCACAGAGGGUGGUGUCAUGCCCCCCUAAUGUUUUUUAAAGGGGGAGUGGAUGGCAGAAAUAACAGUACCAGAGUUCCAGAUGUAGAUAUACAUGUUUUAACCCACUGUGACAGGUGGUGGGAAAGAGUUGGACUGUCAUCAUUGCUUUUUCAAGUGUGUGCAAGAUCGUAAACUAUUGGUCCCACCUCACCUCUCUUUUCUACAGGAGUCGCCCAACAAACCCACCUACAGGAUGAGAAUGGAAAAGACUGAGAGCUAGUACAUAGGUCACUGUGCCUGUAUAGGUGUACUAGUGGUGAUUCCCUCAGAACAGGAUCUAAUAGGGAAAACUCCAAUCUGCAAACUAAUUGACGAACACCAACAUCAAGAACUGACCACAACACCCUUUAACAGACCAGAAAAAAACUGCAAUUUUAUUAAUAGAUGAAAGAAGCUCCAUAGUUCAUGAAAACAUUGUUUUCGGUGCAUGUCGUUUAACAAUCACAUUCUAUGAGGAGAAAGAGAUACAUUGAGAAAAUAAAUCAUUACAAGCCAACUGACUCUUCUUUAAAUCUCAGUACAGACAUUUUUCCUUAAUAUUUCAAAAACAAAAAAGGCAAAAAGCAGCCCUACCCCCAAAUCCCCGUCCCACCCAUCAUCCCAACAAAAACACAAUAACUGAAUGAAACGACAGAACAUACAGAUGGGGUGACGGGCACAGUGCUAAAGAGUAAGAGGUUUAGGAAUACACAGUAUAGCCAUGUAGCGCGAUGUCAAUCUGAAUACACAGUAUAGCCAUGUAGCGUGAUGUCAAUCUGAAUACACAGUAUAGCCAUGUAGCGUGAUGUCAAUCUGAAUUAAAGAAGCCUUGGGGUCUUGGGGUGGGGGGGUAUGCCUACCCAACCAAAUAAAAACAGUGGAUCCCAAAACCCCUGCAUAAAAUGCACCUUGUACCCAUCAAAGCCCCCCCCAAACUUGUGCAUAGAUCAUGAUCCUUUACAACCAGCUAGUUUUAAAAACAUCCUCCAAAUAAAUCGACGUCAGUUAUUUUCCCUGUUCUUUAAUACCCGACAUAAGAGAGAAUGACAGAGGAAAGAGAGUAAUGCACAAUGGUCCUUAUUCAGUCAGGACAGGACUUCUAAGAAAAUACAAUAAAGAUUCAAAACAUACAGAAUUUGCAUGUUCUUUCACGGUCAUUUUUUUGUAACAAUCAAAAUCAAAUGAUAAUUUUGUUUUUAAAUGUAAAGCAAUUUUAAUAAAAAUGUAUAUAAAGCACUCCAUUUUUUGUAAGUUCAUUUAAAGCCCAUUAUUUGGUUAAUAUGUACAGUGCCUUCAUAAAGUAUUCACACCCUUGACGUUUUCCACAUUUUGUUGUUACUUAGUGGGAUUUUUUUGGCAAUGAUAUACACAAUUCUCUCAUUUCAAAGUGUAAGAAAAAAUCUAAUAUUUGUGCAAAAUUCAUGAAAAAUAAAACACAAAUAUAUCUUGAUUAGAUAAGUAUUCAACCCCCUGAGUCAAUACAUGCUAGAAUCACAUUUGAGUCUGAGUAAGUCUCUUUCCACACCUGGAUUGUGCAACAUUUGUCCAUUAUUCUUUUUAGAAUCCUUCAAGCUCUGUCAAAUAGUUUGUUGAUCAAUGUUAGACAACCAUUUUUAGGUCUUGCCAUUCAAGCAGAUUUAAGUCAAAACUAACUCGGCCACUCUGGAACAUUCACGGUAUGCAACCCCAGCGUAGAUUUGGCCUCGUGUUUUAGGUUAUUGUCCUGCUGAAAGGUGAAUUCCUCUCCCAGUGUCUAGUCUAGUGGAAAGCAGACUGAACAAGGUUUUCCUAUAGGAUUUUAACAAUUACAAGCAUACCCAUAAUAAGAUGCAGCCAUCACUGCUUGAAAAUAUGGAGGGUGGUACUCUCAAACAUAACACUUUGUAUUCAGGACAAAAAGUUUAUUGCUUUGCCACAUUUUUUGAAGUAUUACUUUAGUGCCUUGUGGCAAACAGGAUACAUGUUUCAGAAUAUUUUUAUUCUAUACAGGCUUCCUUCUUUUCAUCCUGUCAAUGAGGUUAGUAUUGUGAAGUAACUACAAUGUUAGUGAUCCAUCCUCAGUUUUCUCCUGUCAUAGCCACUAUACGCUGUAACUGUCUCCAUUGUCCUCAUGGUGAAAUCCCUGAGCAGUUUCCUUCCUCUCCGGCAACGCAGUUAGGAAGGAUGCCUGUAUCUCUGUAGUGACUGGGUGCAUUGAGACACCAUCCAAAGUGUAAUUAAUAACCACCAUGCUCAAAGGGAUAUUCUAUGCCUGUUUUUUUGUGUUUUUUUACCCAUCUACCAAUAGGUGGCCUUCUUUGCGAGGAAUUGGAAAACCUCCCUGGUCUUUAUGGUUGAAUAUGUUUGAAAUUCACUGCUGACUAAAGAUAAUUGUAUGUAUGGGGUACAAAGAUGAGGUCGUCAUUCAAAAAUCAUGUUAAACACUAUUACUGCACACAAGAGUCCAUGCAACUUGUGUGACUUAAGCACAUUUUUACUCCUGAAUGUAUUUAGGCUUUCCAUAACAAAGGGGUUGAAUACUUAUUGAAUUUAGACAUUUAGAAAAUCAUAAUUCCACUUUGACGUUAUGGGGUAUUGUGUGUAGGCCAGUGACCAAAAAAAUCUACAUUUAAUACAUUUUAAAUUCAGGCUAUAACAACAUUUGGUAAAAGUCAAGGUGUGUGAAUACUUUGAGGGCACUGUAAACUGCUACGGAUUUUUAAAAAAAUGAUAUUUUCUCUCUUUCUGAAAUUCAUAAGUUUUUCAGUGCUUCAUUUUUUUUAAUCAUUUUUUUUUCUUCGUACAUUAAAAUGGAGUGGAGUUGGAACUCUGGAACCCUGGCCUUCCUGAGACAAGAUCCACUUUAUGUGUGCAAGAUAGUGAGCAAUUAUGUUUUUUUGUUUUGUUUUUUUACAAAGGAAAAAUGUAAUAAAAAUGCACAGGCUUUAGAUAGUCCAUGAAAUCAACAUAGAACAAAGAUGUCAAAGGUCAAAUAUAACAUGACAACACUGUUGGAUCCCAGAGUUCUGAAAGUAGCACAAUAUUAAAAUCUUCAUUCUGUAAAGUGUUUUUUGUUAUUCUUUUUAAAAAUGGAAGUAUUUGUCCUUUUCUUUUGUUUUUCCAACAUUUUCAUACAGUUAAUUCAUUUUCCUCGAACUUCAGACAAACAAAAAUGGUUGUAAACCGUCAGUGGCCUUGCAGAAAACAAGCAGACAUAACGCAUGAGAUUUUAACAAAAAUGAAACUGAACAAAAGCUAACAAACCAAAAAGGUAGGCACCUCUGAAGUGAGCCUUGUAAUCAACCCUCCUUCUGAUGUCUUGUCCUUCGGUUUCUCCCUGAAUAGACAGGGAGAGCUACAAGUCUCUCUACCCAAACUCUAUGGCCACAGGUCUUCAAAAAUACUUUUUUUGUAACUUUUUUCAAUAUUUGUUUUUUUUUGUUGCUUUUGUAUACUUUUUAAGUUUAUAAUCUGAAACAAAUGGUGCAAUACUUAUACUUAAUAAUCCAUAUUUUUUCUUGGAUUAUUCCACAAUGAAAGCCACUACAAGGUAUAUAAACAUAUUACAGAUUAAAAACACUUAUUUUCUUAAGUCCUUGAGUAAACAUUUACACGUGAAGUCGCCGUCUGCCCCCAGUAUUUUAUCUGGCGUUGUUCGAUUAGCUUGAGGGGAGGGCUGACACUCAGUGCAACGCUAGAGUCUAAUAACAAUAAACAUCACAAUAUACUUUGAUAAGCCAAAAAUAAAACAUAAAACUAAUAUACGGAAUAGAAAUCAAAUGAAAAAGCGGAGAUAAUUCCCGCUGUAAAUCACAGGCUCACAAUCGUUUGAAACCUCAUACACACGGUCUGUCAAACAGACACAUCCAUCCACCCACGAACCAUACAGUACAGGCAACCUUGUGCAAACACUCAGAUACAACAGAUGUCAUUUAGCCUUUUUUUAUACCAAUCUUUGUUUUUAACAAUCCUCAUUUUUCUAAUUUAAUUCACUCAGAACAGAUAUUCUCAAAUAUCCAGGAAGUGUAUGAAUGAGACAAAAUUAUUACAAAGUGUUCACAUUACAAUAUUGGCGCUUCUUUUUGAUUCAAGUAUUUGUAUUCUUUAUUUUUGUAUUACUCUGAUAUGUUAAUAUUAUAUUUAUCUUCUGGGAAAUAUACAGAGAAGGAGAAUACAUAGGGGUAAGGUUGGACCUGGGGCAGAGAGCGGGUUUAGGGUAAAGUGGAAAGAGAAACCUAGCUGUAUACAUAUGCACACUUGGAUGUAUACAUGUAUAUAAACUAGCAUGUGCAUAUUCAACCCAGGCCCUUGACAAAGAUUUGUUUUCCUCUUGAAAUGGGGUCCCUACCCCAGAACCUACUCUGGUCCAUGAUUGAGAAGCAUACUUUGCUUAAACUCCAGUUGCCUUUGAGUGAUUUAAAAAGGGAGAUUCUCUUGACUUCCUACACCAGUCAUCCAUGGUGUAUAUUGAUGGGUCAAUAAGGUGGGGUAGGGGUGGGUAGAGUGACAGGUGGGCUCUCAGUGCUCGUGCUGCACAGAGAAUCCUGGGACGCCUCUGAGACUUGACCCCCCCAAUCCCUUUUUUGUGACCCUAUUCCAGUCUGUAGCCUCGGGAGCCCAGCGUGGAGCAAAACAAUUCAGGUUUUUCAGAAACAGGCAAUUAGUGAUUGUUGCUAAUGUCACACGACAAUGACGAGUACGAAAAACAACUCUUGGAAGAGGGCCUUUCCCCUUUUAAGACUUGGUACCGAACAACAAAACUGUGAGGUGUGUCCUGGCCCUGCUGAUACGGUGGGCCCCACCUGGACCCUAACCCAAAAAUCCAGAUCUGGGGCAAUGUUCUGUGGGUGGUGCACUCGAGGCUGGAGGUCAGAAACUAACAGCAUCAACACAGUGUUCCAGAAGAAAGCCCCAGUCAGAGGGCCACAGUUGGGGGGAAAGGCUUGCAGAGACAGAACGAGGCCUCUCAGCCAAGGAGUGCACAGCAAAAAACAUACUGUAGGACUUUUUUAAAACACUUUUUUUUUGUACUUUAGCUUCUACUUUUUGUCACCCCUCACCCCAAAGAAAAGAUAACAUGUUUUUGGUUUUAUAAAAGGUGUACCCAAUGUGACCCAUCAACAGUACACACAGACUGCCUGUUUUCUUUUGAUAGCUGGGACAAGGGACUGCCUCAUAUGUCCUGACCCAAAUAUUACCCCCUCCUCCCACCCCACAUUCCUCCAUGACCCAUGUGCCUUUAAGUCUAGGAUUCAGGAGGAAAUGUCUCAAAACUACUGAAUCUUGGGAAUUGAAGGCUCAUUUGACAGCAGAGACAACUCAAUGGUAAAUGGCAGGGCUGAAGUAUAUAUUUUAGUCCAGUUGGCACAUGACACAUGAGGAAGGACUCCCAGAAACCCCAUCCCCACCACUCAUACUUCUCAUACCACUCAGCAGGUCAUUAUUAGUGUUACCUAAAAGCUCUUGGAAUCAUCACAAUGAAGAACUGUACUUUACAGAUGUACUUUACACAAUGCUAGAGCGCCAACAGGGGAAAGCAGAGUCCACUCAGUGGUCCUCCGGAGGCGUGUAUGUAUGAGGGAUAUCAGUGAGACUGAAUUACAAACACCCCACAGUGAUGGGACAGUGGGGAGGGUAGUUGGGAGUCUGCCCAGUGCUGGCUGGUAUGAAAAAAUGCCAGGGGGGUGGAAAGGAGAGGGUUAGACAAUUGGCAGAUGGUUGGUGGACUGAUGGUUGAUGGUUCUGAGCGCGAACCUCUGUCUUUGCAUAGAAAUCGAGUGCUGCGUCAGUUUAUAUGGUAUUCAGGUUGACGGAGAGGGAUAGUGGUUAGGAGUCUGUCUUUUCAUUCUGCCAGAAAGCUCCUAGACAGCCUAUGGAAAAUAAAGCACCAGUGUGAGUGAGGUGACUGGAGUGGAGGAUGUGUGUGUGUGGAGCGGACAACAUGGGGAUGGGAAGGGAGAGAGGGUGGGCUGGGCAGCAGAGGCUGAGAGAGAGGGUGGGCUGGGCAGCAGAGGCUGAGAGAGAGGGUGGGCUGGGCAGCAGAGGCUGAGAGAGAGGGUGGGCUGGGCAGCAGAGGCUGAGAGAGAGGGUGGGCUGGGCAGCAGAGGCUGAGAGAGAGGGGGAGCAGGGCAGGCCGGGUAGAUAGAUACCCUCAAUCUCACACCUGAUCUGACUAUACAUUAGAACCAUUAGGUCCGCUCCUGAACCAAAACACUGACUGUCCAACAACCACACCAAAUGAACCACCCCCACUGAGAUCUGCAGUGUCCGUAUCCAUAACAUUCCUGUGGUGGGCUGCGUUUGCUGAGGUGCGCGUGGAACCAGAAGUAUUUUAGCCUCUGCUUACGAGCAGUAAGAGCAGGGGACAGGAGAGCAGCUGAACACUGCAUGGAGCCGUUGAAAAAACAUCCGUAAAAAUCAUUGUAAUCAUCAUAAAACAAACAUCAACAACAGCAAGUUUGACAAAAACUAAAACAACAACUGGAGAUUUUUCCAGAUAUGAAAAUAAUAAACCAAAACAAUUAAACCAAAAAAAAAACUUAACACAAUUCAAAAACCUCUCCAUCUCUGGCUAAAGUGAUCCUUGCAUGAGAGACAGAGAGAGAGGGAUAGAGUGGAGGUGAUGAACAACAGAGAGAGGGAUAGAGUGGAGGUGAUGAACAACAGAGAGAGGGAUAGAGUGGAGGUGAUGAACAACAGAGAGGGAUAGAGUGGAGGUGAUGAACAAUAGAGAGGGAUAGAGUGGAGGUGAUGAACAACAGAAGAGAGGGGGAUAGAGAGAGGGAUAGAGUGGAGGUGAUGAACAACAGAGAGGGAUAGAG
This is a long non-coding RNA of Oncorhynchus tshawytscha (Chinook salmon), 7037 nucleotides long. NCBI's taxonomy places the organism in Eukaryota, Metazoa, Chordata, Actinopteri, Salmoniformes, Salmonidae. The record is from Ensembl.